Molecule: ribosomal RNA, 253 nt
Filed under: uncultured bacterium
Lineage: Bacteria
Description: partial 16S ribosomal RNA
Rfam family: Bacterial small subunit ribosomal RNA
Source: RNAcentral
UACGUAGGGAGCUAGCGUUGUUCGGAAUUACUGGGCGUAAAGCGCACGUAGGCGGCUUUGUAAGUUAGAGGUGAAAGCCUGGGGCUCAACCCCAGAAUUGCCUUUAAGACUGCAUCGCUUGAAUCCAGGAGAGGUGAGUGGAAUUCCGAGUGUAGAGGUGAAAUUCGUAGAUAUUCGGAAGAACACCAGUGGCGAAGGCGGCUCACUGGACUGGUAUUGACGCUGAGGUGCGAAAGCGUGGGGAGCAAACAGG